CGGGGUGGAGCAGCCCGGUAGCUCGUCAGGCUCAUAACCUGAAGGUCACAGGUUCAAAUCCUGUCCCCGCAACC
RNAcentral lists this transfer RNA (74 nucleotides) under Gluconacetobacter diazotrophicus PA1 5. RNAcentral describes it as "transfer RNA-Met". It matches the Rfam family "tRNA". From Rfam's summary of the family: Transfer RNA (tRNA) molecules are approximately 80 nucleotides in length. Lineage: Bacteria; Pseudomonadati; Pseudomonadota; Alphaproteobacteria; Acetobacterales; Acetobacteraceae. The record is from RNAcentral.